This 148-nucleotide non-coding RNA is filed under the name Pan troglodytes (chimpanzee). The record is from Rfam by way of RNAcentral. Lineage: Eukaryota; Metazoa; Chordata; Mammalia; Primates; Hominidae.
GCUGGGUGUGGUGGUGCAUGCCUGAAGUCCCAGCUACUCAGGAAUCUGAGGUGGGAGGAUUGCUUGAGCCCAGGAGGUUGAGACUGCAGUGAGCUAUAAUGGUGCCACUGCCCUCCAGCCUGGGCAACAGAGUGAGACCCCAUCUCUA